GCGAUGUUUCAUUCAAAUUUCUGCCCUAUCAACUUUCGACGGUAGGGUAGUGGCCUACCGUGGUGGUAACGGGUGACGGAGGAUUAGGGUUCGAUUCCGGAGAGGGAGCCUGAGAAACGGCUACCACAUCCAAGGAAGGCAGCAGGCGCGCAAAUUACCCAAAUCCCAACUCGGGGAGGUAGUGACAAGAAAUAACGAUGCUCCGGCCAUCGGUCGGGUAAUCGGAAUGAGGACAAUUUAAAUCCCUUAUCGAGGAUCAAUUGGAGGGCAAGUCUGGUGCCAGCAGCCGCGGUAAUUCCAGCUCCAAUAGCGUAUAUUUAAGUUGCUGCGGUUAAAAAGCUCGUAGUCGGAUUUCGGGUGGUGCCUACCGGUCCGCCCUUGGUGUGUACUGGUAGGCGCCACCUUUCUGCCGAGGACGGGUUCCUGGGCUUAGCUGUCUGGGGCCCGGAGUCGGCGAUGUCACUUUGAGUAAAUUAGGGUGUUUAAAGCAGGCUUAUGCUCUGUAUACACUAGCAUGGGAUGACACGAUAGGACUUCGGUCUAUCUUGUCGGUCUGUAGAUCGGAGUAAUGAUUAAGAGGGACAGUCGGGGGCAUUCGUAUUUCGUAGUCAGAGGUGAAAUUCUUGGAUUUACGGAAGACGAACUUCUGCGAAAGCAUUUGCCAAGGAUGUUUUCAUUGAUCAAGAACGAAAGUCGGGGGCUCGAAGACGAUUAGAUACCGUCGUAGUCUCGACCAUAACAUGC
Molecule: ribosomal RNA, 744 nt
Filed under: Trentepohliaceae sp. Kukwa 19283
Lineage: Eukaryota; Viridiplantae; Chlorophyta; Ulvophyceae; Trentepohliales; Trentepohliaceae
Description: SSU rRNA
Rfam family: Eukaryotic small subunit ribosomal RNA
Source: RNAcentral